UCGAACGCGAGAGGGGCUUCGGCCCCGAUUGAGUGGCAAACGGGUGAGUAACGCGUGGGUGACCUACCUUCGAGUGGGGGAUAACGUCUCGAAAGGGACGCUAAUACCGCAUGACAUCCUGCCUUUGGACAGGCGGAGAUCAAAGCCGGGGACCGCAAGGCCUGGCGCUUGGAGAGGGGCCCGCGUCCGAUUAGCUGGUUGGUGGGGUAACGGCCUACCAAGGCGACGAUCGGUAGCCGGCCUGAGAGGGCGGACGGCCACACUGGGACUGAGACACGGCCCAGACUCCUACGGGAGGCAGCAGUGGGGAAUUGUUCGCAAUGGGCGCAAGCCUGACGACGCAACGCCGCGUGGAGGAUGAAGGUCUUCGGAUUGUAAACUCCUGUUGAUCGGGACGAACAUCUUUUGGGAUAACACCCCGAAGGACUGACGGUACCGGUUGAGGAAGCCCCGGCUAACUCUGUGCCAGCAGCCGCGGUAAUACAGAGGGGGCAAGCGUUG
This 501-nucleotide ribosomal RNA is filed under the name uncultured bacterium. RNAcentral's name for it is "bacterial SSU rRNA". It matches the Rfam family "Bacterial small subunit ribosomal RNA", at positions 62 to 543 of the family's 1533-position model. The record is from RNAcentral.